This 420-nucleotide long non-coding RNA is filed under the name Pan troglodytes (chimpanzee). RNAcentral's name for it is "long non-coding RNA NONPTRT002811". Lineage: Eukaryota; Metazoa; Chordata; Mammalia; Primates; Hominidae. The record is from RNAcentral.
GAGGUGGGUGGAUUGCUUGAGCCCAGGAGUUCAAGACCAGCCUGGGCAACAUGGCAAAAACCCAUCUCUACUAAAAAAAAAAAAACAAAAAAAAAAACAAAAAUUAUCAGGGCAUAGUGGUGCGCCUGUAGUCCCAGCUACUCUGUAUAGAUACACACAUACAUGUAUAGCUUAACAUGGAUUUUGGCAUAGCAAUUGGUAGCAAUUGAUUAUGAGAGGGGCAUUUUCAUGGGCCCUGAACUGUACAGGACUUUAGGGGUGCACUUAUCUAAAUUCCUGGCCCUUAGGGUCGAGACAGCUGGUGGCUAAUAUAAUCCAACAGUCCAUCAAACAUCAGUUCAGUCCAGCUGACUGGCUGGGUCUGUUAUCAGCAGUGCCAAUCACAAGAACCUGGUCAUAGAAUCUCAAAGUUGGACAGAG